RNAcentral lists this non-coding RNA (24 nucleotides) under Arabidopsis thaliana (thale cress). Lineage: Eukaryota; Viridiplantae; Streptophyta; Magnoliopsida; Brassicales; Brassicaceae. The record is from RNAcentral.
AGGCUUAUAACAUCGGGUUGCGGU